GUGAAUCCCUUGGCUCAACCAAGGAAGGGCAUUUGAAACUGUCUGGCUUGAGUACGGGAGGGGGAAGUGGAAUUCCCGGUGUAGAGGUGAAAUUCGUAGAUAUCGGGAGGAACACCGGUGGCGAAGGCGGCUUCCUGGACCGAUACUGACGCUGAGACGCGAAAGCGUGGGGAGCAAACAGGAUUAGAUACCCUGGUAGUCCACGCCUUAAACGUUGGGCACUAGGUGUUGUGGGUAUUGACCCCUGCAGUGCCAAGGGCGAAUUCCACAGUGGAUA
Molecule: ribosomal RNA, 277 nt
Filed under: uncultured bacterium
Lineage: Bacteria
Description: partial 16S ribosomal RNA
Rfam family: Bacterial small subunit ribosomal RNA
Source: RNAcentral